AGGGAAUCUUCCGCAAUGGACGAAAGUCUGACGGAGCAACGCCGCGUGAGUGAAGAAGGUCUUCGGAUCGUAAAACUCUGUUGUUAGGGAAGAACAAGUAUCGUUCGAAUAGGGCGGUACCUUGACGGUACCUAACCAGAAAGCCACGGCUAACUACGUGCCAGCAGCCGCGGUAAUACGUAGGUGGCAAGCGUUGUCCGGAAUUAUUGGGCGUAAAGCGCGCGCAGGCGGUCUUUUAAGUCUGAUGUGAAAGCCCACGGCUCAACCGUGGAGGGUCAUUGGAAACUGGAAGACUUGAGUGCAGAAGAGGAGAGUGGAAUUCCACGUGUAGCGGUGAAAUGCGUAGAGAUGUGGAGGAACACCAGUGGCGAAGGCGACUCUCUGGUCUGUAACUGACGCUGAGGCGCGAAAGCGUGGGGAGCAAAC
RNAcentral lists this ribosomal RNA (426 nucleotides) under uncultured bacterium. Its description in RNAcentral is "bacterial SSU rRNA". It matches the Rfam family "Bacterial small subunit ribosomal RNA", at positions 356 to 773 of the family's 1533-position model. The record is from RNAcentral.